GGAUGCAAAACACAGGCUUUCAUUCAGCCUUGGAAAAGGAGAUCCUGGGACUUGUGACAAUGAAGAUGAGCUUGGACACAUUGUGCUCUGUGAGAUAAGCUGGACACAGAAAGAAACAUAAUGCAUGAUCUCAUUUAUCUAUGGGAUGUAGAAACCUGCAUUGGACCAUGGAUUGGAAUGUGGAUUGCAGGGGACACAGGCAUGCACGGAAUCUCCACUAGAAGAGGCGGUGGAAACGUUGACUAGCUUGAUGGCGAACAUCAUGUCACAACACAGAUGAUUUCAAAACAUCAAGUUGAACAACUUAAGUGUGUACAGUUUUUGUUUGUUAUGCCUGAAUUAAACCAAGGACAAGCAAUGGCAGUGAUUAAAUGGGAAAAACAAUAAUGCAGUCAGUAGAAAAAAACUUCCUACUUUCUCAGUAGCGUAUGUUUGUGGUCCGUCAUGUUUGCAUUCCUGGUGAGGGCCUGGUGCAUGCAUGUAAUACAUCUUGAUUCCUCUUCACAUCCCAAUUUCCCUGCCUCCCUCCUCCUUUCCUGUUUGUGGGUCUGAUUUCUUCCUCUUAGCUGACUGUGCUGUCUAAACAUCUGGCUCUACAAUGAGAGUGUGGGGAAGACGAGUGUACUCACUGGUCUUGAUUUUAGGACUAACGUUUCUUGGUUUUGCCGUUCAGCAUGCACUGCUGUGUGUUUGCUGCAUCCGGCCUUUACCAAGGUAGGAAGAUGGGGUGCAGCUGGCCUGGUUGGAAGGGGCCCAGGACGCAGUGCAGCAUGGUUCUUGGGACCCUGCUGAGAUGUCUGGUGAGAAUCCAAGCUGGUCCUUGCUCACAUGACCCUUUGUGCUGUGAGCAUGGGAAACAGGAAAAGGAAAUGACAAGGUGUUGGAGGCUGUAAACCACAUCCUGGCUUUCCUCCCGAUAGCUUGCCUGUGCUCUGAGCUGUGCUUUGAUUUUUAUUGUCCUCCCGUUUUCACUCGACCCAAAUGCGCUCUGCAGAGCACGUGAUCUUCACUCUUAUUUUUAUUUUCAUGCUUCUAAUAAAUGUGAAACUCUGCCACCACUUUAUUUCAUUCAGUUCUUUGUUUGGAACAGAAAAGGACUUAGAAAUCACCUCUACGGGGAGACUCCAGCACCCUACAGCUUGGGAGCAUUUUGUUCAGGGAUUUUAUCAUGAAGGGAUGUUGAAUUUGAUCAAAUGCUUUUUCUGUGUCUAUUGAGAUGGCCAAAGCAAUUUGAACUGCAUAUUGAUAAAUUGCAUUAACUGAUUUGCAAGUGUUGACACGUUUUUGCAUGCUUGGAAUGAAACCAUUCUAAUCUCAGUGUAUGAUUUUUCUUUAUGUGCUGACUUCUAUUUGCUAGUUUUGCUGGGGAGUUUUGUAUCUAAAUUCAUCAGGGAUAUUGGUCUGGAGUUUUCCUUUUUUUUGUUGGGCCUUUUGUCAGAUUUUGGUGUGAUGGUAAUGCUGGCUUCACAGAAUGAGUUUGCAAGGGUUCACUCCACUUCAAUACUUUGAAGUUAUUUUGGAAGCAUCAAUGUUAGUUCUUCUUUAAAAGUCUGACAAAAUUGAGCAGUGUAACUGUCUAGUCCUGAGCUCUUCUUUGCUGGAAACACCUUAUUAUUAACUCAUUUUCACUGCUUGUUACUGAAGUAUUCCUGUAUUUAGUAUCUUCAUGGUUGAAUAUCAGUAUGUCAUAUGUAUCCAGAAUUUUGUUUAGAUUUUCCUGUUUGUUAUUAUAUAGUUUUUCAAGGAAA
Molecule: long non-coding RNA, 1748 nt
Organism: Cavia porcellus (domestic guinea pig)
Lineage: Eukaryota; Metazoa; Chordata; Mammalia; Rodentia; Caviidae
Exons: 2
Source: RefSeq, a predicted model, not a curated record